AGAAUCAACGCUGGCGGCGCGCUUAACACAUGCAAGUCGCACGAGAAAGGGAGCAAUCCUGAGUAAAGUGGCGUACGGGUGAGUAACACGUGGAUAAUCUACCUCUUGGUGGGGAAUACCCCCGGGAAACUGGGGACAAUACCGCAUAAGCUGCCCUUUUAACUAAAGGGACAGGAAAGCAGCAAUGCGCCGAGAGAGGAGUCCGCGGCCGAUUAGUUUGUUGGCGGGGUAACGGCCCACCAAGACGAAGAUCGGUAGCCGGCCUGAGAGGGCACACGGCCACACUGGCACUGAAACACGGGCCAGACUCCUACGGGAGGCAGCAGUGGGGAAUCUUGCAUAAUGGGGGAAACCCUGAUGCAGCGACGCCGCGUGAGCGAUGAAGCCCUUCGGGGUGUAAAGCUCUUUCGACGGGAACGAUAAUGACGGUACCCGAAGAAGAAGCUGCGGCUAACUACGUGCCAGCAGCCGC
Molecule: ribosomal RNA, 472 nt
Filed under: uncultured bacterium
Lineage: Bacteria
Description: SSU rRNA
Rfam family: Bacterial small subunit ribosomal RNA
Source: RNAcentral